Small nucleolar RNA from Camelus ferus (Wild Bactrian camel), 138 nucleotides. It matches the Rfam family "Small nucleolar RNA SNORA67". From Rfam's summary of the family: U67 belongs to the H/ACA class of snoRNAs which are thought to guide the sites of modification of uridines to pseudouridines. Lineage: Eukaryota; Metazoa; Chordata; Mammalia; Artiodactyla; Camelidae. The record is from Rfam.
CGCCAAGAGGGUAGAACCCCAAGGGGCCGGCUGGCGCCCCUCAUCAGGAAAUUAGCUACUUGGAAUAAAAUCUGGCAUGCCUCAGGUUUCCAGGGGAGAAGGGGCUCCCUUCGGCUGCCUCCACGUGUGCUUAAGUCU